This 68-nucleotide small RNA is filed under the name Arabidopsis thaliana (thale cress). Its description in RNAcentral is "ATSL054920". Lineage: Eukaryota; Viridiplantae; Streptophyta; Magnoliopsida; Brassicales; Brassicaceae. The record is from RNAcentral.
AUGGAUUAAAGACGUUGUUCGGCUCUUUUACAUCAUUACUCCCACACAAUCUUUGACUCUCUUUCUCU